RNAcentral lists this ribosomal RNA (737 nucleotides) under uncultured Staphylococcus sp. RNAcentral's name for it is "bacterial SSU rRNA". It matches the Rfam family "Bacterial small subunit ribosomal RNA", at positions 64 to 783 of the family's 1533-position model. The record is from RNAcentral. Lineage: Bacteria; Bacillati; Bacillota; Bacilli; Caryophanales; Staphylococcaceae.
GAGCGAACAGACGAGGAGCUUGCUCCUCUGACGUUAGCGGCGGACGGGUGAGUAACACGUGGAUAACCUACCUAUAAGACUGGGAUAACUUCGGGAAACCGGAGCUAAUACCGGAUAAUAUAUUGGACCGCAUGGUUCAAUAGUGAAAGACGGUUUUGCUGUCACUUAUAGAUGGAUCCGCGCCGCAUUAGCUAGUUGGUAAGGUAACGGCUUACCAAGGCAACGAUGCGUAGCCGACCUGAGAGGGUGAUCGGCCACACUGGAACUGAGACACGGUCCAGACUCCUACGGGAGGCAGCAGUAGGGAAUCUUCCGCAAUGGGCGAAAGCCUGACGGAGCAACGCCGCGUGAGUGAUGAAGGUCUUCGGAUCGUAAAACUCUGUUAUUAGGGAAGAACAAAUGUGUAAGUAACUAUGCACGCCUUGACGGUACCUAAUCAGAAAGCCACGGCUAACUACGUGCCAGCAGCCGCGGUAAUACGUAGGUGGCAAGCGUUAUCCGGAAUUAUUGGGCGUAAAGCGCGCGUAGGCGGUUUUUUAAGUCUGAUGUGAAAGCCCACGGCUCAACCGUGGAGGGUCAUUGGAAACUGAAAAACUUGAGUGCAGAAGAGGAAAGUGGAAUUCCAUGUGUAGCGGUGAAAUGCGCAGAGAUAUGGAGGAACACCAGUGGCGAAGGCGACUUUCUGGUCUGUAACUGACGCUGAUGUGCGAAAGCGUGGGGAUCAAACAGGAUUAGAU